UAGGCAGGCCCAGAGACUGAAAUCCUUUGCUUAUUCACAGAACAAGUACAGCGCUGACAGAAACAAUGCUGGCUGCCAGUGUACCUCAGCCUUUCUCAAGAGAGUCCAGCUUCAGGGAAUGAGACAGUGGCUCAGUCAGGUCCAUCCCGUCCUUGGCUUCU
Molecule: small RNA, 161 nt
Filed under: Crocodylus porosus (Australian saltwater crocodile)
Lineage: Eukaryota; Metazoa; Chordata; Crocodylia; Crocodylidae
Description: TUC338 (ENSCPRG00005002366.1)
Source: RNAcentral